ACAUAAUGUACGUAUGACCAUGGUUCGCGAAAAUUACGUUCCAAUAGGUGGAUCUAUUAUUUUGGUUGCUGUGUUGUGAAAUUAACGGACGGAGAAGACAUGUAUUAAUACAGAACAGAACUUACAAACUCGCUGUUCGGUUUAAAGCUCCUGUAGUAUGUUGACCCGUUAGUUACAUUAUGCGAAGAGUAUAAACGCGGUAAUACGAAAAUAAUAACCCUUACAGAUUGCAUAUACAUGAAUAUCGGCACCAAAAGUAUAGGACUUGAUGAUUAUUGUGAAUACAGCAUAAUACAUUUGUGUUUACCUACGUUAUUGUAGCUGUAAAGAAGGCAAACAGGAGGCGACCAACAUUCAAAUACAAGUAAUUGAGUGUUCACAGAUUAGUGCAUAGAAAAAAAAAACAACAAUAUGGAGAUCUAAUGCGGCGGCCAAUGCAAGUGAGGAACGUAUAAUAAUACGAGGACGUACGUCGUACAUCUGUCGAAACAGCCUAACUAAUUUCUUUUAGACCACCGAAAAACAAAAUUUAAACAGAGUUUAGAGUGUUAUAUUCAUUCCACAUUCAGUUCACAUUGUUAUCAGAAUGGCAUUGAUAUAAGACAAUUACAAAAUCAUUGCUUACUUAUUGAUGGUGGUUAUGAUCAUUCCUCAUCACAAUCCAGCCAUGUAUCCAGGAUCCAGUUUAUUCAACAUAAUUGAUAUUUUGGGAAACAUUAAAUCUAAAAUAUUUAUUUAUUAUAUUAUGUACAAGG
Long non-coding RNA from Rhopalosiphum maidis (corn leaf aphid), 755 nucleotides. RefSeq lists it as uncharacterized. The record is from RefSeq and is a predicted model, not a curated record. The transcript is spliced from 6 exons. Lineage: Eukaryota; Metazoa; Arthropoda; Insecta; Hemiptera; Aphididae.